This 1522-nucleotide long non-coding RNA is filed under the name Gadus morhua (Atlantic cod). Its description in RNAcentral is "lncRNA (ENSGMOG00000028687.1)". The record is from RNAcentral. Lineage: Eukaryota; Metazoa; Chordata; Actinopteri; Gadiformes; Gadidae.
UGUUAUUAUAAAGGCUUGGAUUUACUCUCCUCUCAUUAGAUUGUGUUGUCUCUUCGAUCCAACAAGGAGGAGGAGGAGGAGUAGAAGGUUGAUCAGGAGGAGGAGGAGGAGGUGGAGCUGGACAGAAAAGGAGUUGGAGGGAAUGCCCUGGUGACAGUUCUCCCACUUUGUUUUUCCUCCUCGAAACGGACCAAGGCCAUGAUGUUCAAUCUCCUCCAUCGACCGGUGUCAUCAAAAGGGCUGCCAAUAUCCUGUCCUUCUUAAUUCGUAAGGCGAGGCACAACCCUGGCCUGCCAACGGCGCCGAUGGAGAUGGGGAUACCGAGCCCCCAAAGCCCGUCAGACCUCCCUCUUCUUAGUGAUCCCAAUUCCCAUAAUUGCCCGGGUCUGCUUGACGAGCCAUCUAGCGCAGCUGCGCUGAACGUUCUUCCUCGAGGUCCCACCAACACUGCGGUCCCACUGUUGCCUCUACUGCGCUGAGGAGAGAGAGAGGAGAGGCUGCUGAAGGCCAUAUUUCCCCGCGGUGCAGAGCACUGCCCUGCCGCCUUGUGUAUGUGUGUGACGCAACCCGAAGCCAACAUCUUUGGCAGAAUAACAUUGCAAUCAAGUUAUUAUUUCCACUUAUUAGCACAUUUUCCUCAGCGUGUCGGGGCCAAAGAUAUGCUUGUCGGGAUCGAUCUCCUUGAGUGAUAUGGUCCGUUAAAUGCGUUUGGUUUGAGAACGGGAACCCAGACCGUGCGUGUGUGUGCGUGUGUGUGUGUGUGUGUGUUUGUGUGUGUGUGCGUGCUCGCAUGCAUGUGAGUGCGUGUGUAACUGACUGGCUCAAUACCUUCUACGAUUUGAUGUUUAACUUACUUGUGGGUUCUGUGAAAGAGGAGGGGGUAGCAGGCCUCCAUGGUGGUUUAUACUGAAAGUACUGUAACAGACUUGUAGAAAACUGAAUGUUGGUCUCACUUGUAAGAGACUAUCAUUUUGUUUGAAGUUACAUGAUGUUGAAUUAUGUUUUUAUACGUAUCAUUGCUCCCAGCCUUUUUACAUUCACAAUGUAUGGUAAUUUAAGUUAUUAAAUACAUGUUUUAUGAAUGGUAAAACAGCCACAGGGCAUUUUUUUGCAGUGGGUCUUUUGUGACAAUUACAAUUAUUUGAAGUCCCUGAUUCAUAUUUAAUGAAACCAUUGACCUUCCUCCUCCUGGCCCAUAUUAACUGCUGAGAGUAAUGGGUGCACUAAUGAUGAGAUGGAUCGGGGGGAUGUCAAUCAUCACAAAUGUAAUUAAUUCCAUUCGUCGUCGUGGCCAAUCAAAAGCCUUUGAGGGCCAAGGGUAUUCAGAUUGUCAUUGGAUUGUAUCCAAUAGCAACACCAGCUGAUUUGUGGAAGAUACAAUGUUUUUGCAGCAAAAAUAUUAACAAGAAAACAUUUGUUAAUGAUAAGAAUUAAUGGCCAUCGGUAUCAACCAUCAAUCAUAUUUUGUUAUUAUUAAUGUUUGUAAUUUGAAGGACAGAAAUGUCUGCAAGGGCUUUCUGUG